Molecule: unclassified non-coding RNA, 483 nt
Filed under: Hevea brasiliensis (rubber tree)
Lineage: Eukaryota; Viridiplantae; Streptophyta; Magnoliopsida; Malpighiales; Euphorbiaceae
Source: RNAcentral
GGAGAUUGUAUAAUCGUCUCAUUAAGUUUCAUGAUUUUCAAUAUCUGAGACAAAAGGGAUUCAAAAGAUCAAAUUUUUAAAUAAAUUUGGAAGUUUAUUGAACGUUUAAAAUUAUUUGUUUAUGAAGAAAUCCGGGAUCAAGAAUUUUACCUAAUUUACUGAAUGUCUGCCAUCAUCAGAAUUGCUUUUCAAAUUUUGGCAUAAAAAUGAUGAACACCAUUCUUACACCAGAAGAUGUAAUGAUGGGUACGAAUUCUAUCAUGAUUUACAGGUUUCCUAUUAAUUUACUUUAAAGAAAGGCAAAUGUCUACACUGGUUGCAGUGUAGGUUUUUGGAGGCUGCUGUAUGGUCAACUUAUUGGACAUAAAAUUUUGUUGGAAUUCCCAACCUAAAUACUCUUUGAGAGUCAAAUAUGCUGGUUUUCACUGCCUUAGUGUUCGACUUCUUUAGGUCCGUUUCAUGCUAAACAAAUGCUUGGGGUAA